AUUUUAUUUGAGAGAGAGAGAGUGAGCUUUCAAUGGGGCUCAAUCCCGGGACCCUGCGAUCAUGACCUGAGCCGAAAGCAGAUGCUUAACCGACGGAGCCACCCAGGUGCCCGUGAAAACAUUUGGUCGUCUUUAUGCUGUCUUUGCAGUCUUCCUACCACCUACCAUGUGAAUGGUGAUGCUCAGACUUAGGAAUGGGGAAUGGGUUUUCAGGAGAGCUCAGCAGUAUCUCAGUGUCGGAUGCCGUAGAGAUCACUCACCAAUCAGUCCAGGGCUGGUCCAACAGAGAGGGGCCAAUCACUGUUCUUCAACUACAGCCAGACUUGCCUGCACAGCAGUACCUGUGGCUCCAGACUGGAUGCCUGUACAGAAAUCUGGCUCUGGCAAUGGCAGCUGGAGAGGGUGAUGGGACCUCCUGCUAAAUGAAGUUCAGUCAAGGAAUGGAUGAGCUGCAAGAGUCACUUGC
Mirounga angustirostris (Northern elephant seal) is the source of this 466-nucleotide long non-coding RNA. RefSeq lists it as uncharacterized. Lineage: Eukaryota; Metazoa; Chordata; Mammalia; Carnivora; Phocidae. The transcript is spliced from 3 exons. The record is from RefSeq and is a predicted model, not a curated record.